AUGAACGCUGGCGGCGUGCCUAAUACAUGCCAGUCGAGCGAACGGACGAGAAGCUUGCUUCUCUGAUGUUAGCGGCGGACGGGUGAGUAACACGUGGAUAACCUACCUAUAAGACUGGGAUAACUUCGGGAAACCGGAGCUAAUACCGGAUAAUAUUUUGAACCGCAUGGUUCAAAAGUGAAAGACGGUCUUGCUGUCACUUAUAGAUGGAUCCGCGCUGCAUUAGCUAGUUGGUAAGGUAACGGCUUACCGAGGCAACGAUGCAUAGCCGACCUGAGAGGGUGAUCGGCCACACUGGAACUGAGACACGGUCCAGACUCCUACGGGAGGCAGCAGUAGGGAAUCUUCCGCAAUGGGCGAAAGCCUGACGGAGCAACGCCGCGUGAGUGAUGAAGGUCUUCGGAUCGUAAAACUCUGUUAUUAGGGAAGAACAUAUGUGUAAGUAACUGUGCACAUCUUGACGGUACCUAAUCAGAAAGCCGCGGCUAACUACGUG
Molecule: ribosomal RNA, 496 nt
Filed under: uncultured bacterium
Lineage: Bacteria
Description: partial 16S ribosomal RNA
Rfam family: Bacterial small subunit ribosomal RNA
Source: RNAcentral